Molecule: long non-coding RNA, 2043 nt
Organism: Alnus glutinosa
Lineage: Eukaryota; Viridiplantae; Streptophyta; Magnoliopsida; Fagales; Betulaceae
Exons: 4
Source: RefSeq, a predicted model, not a curated record
UUUUCCCUCUCGUCUCACUUUCCCCCAACCCCAAAUGAUCACAAACCAAACAUGGUUUCUCCGACUCCAAAUCCCUAGCGACUACCCAUGGCCUCCACUUCGGCUUCGCGGUCCACCGGCGUCACCAGAAGAAUCCGAGCUGCAGCUUCGACACUGUAGUCACACAAUCAGUCCCUCAUCGCUGUGAAAGAGCUUGAAAAUGCAGCUGUUGAGUUGUUGGCUACGUAUGAAGACUGUACACAUUUUUCAUCAGCAAUUCAUUCUGUUGGAGAUGGGUGCCAGCCUGGAGGAGAGUUCACCAAUUUUAAGAAGUUCAGGAUGAGAUUGCGAAGCUCAAGGCUAGUUCAUCUUCAGUUCCACAAAACCAUCCUAUAAUAUGCCAAUUUAUAGAAGCUAUCUAGUGACUUUUGGGAGCACCAUAGAAUUGAUAGCUUCGUGGUUUCAAACUUUUAGGAGUGGCGGAAUUAGGUAAGACUUUAAGGGACUAAUGUCCCCUAAAAAGUUUUAAAAUUACUUUUAAAUUUUAUGCUUUUUAUGUAGUAUCCCCUCCAAAAGUACCAAUGUCUCUUCAAAAUUUUUAAAUUAUCUCUCCCACACUUUAAUGUCUAUUUCCGCCCCUGGUUUUAGUGAUUAAAGUAAGUCAAUGAUGAUUAUAAAUGUAUUUAGUCGAAGAGGUCAUGUUUACAUUGUGGAAUCAAUUAUGCUCAUGGAAAUAAAUGUAUCAAGGAUUACUCACAAGUUUGAAAGAAGAAAUUGCCUGAAAUUUUGUGAUCAUGAUUGACAGACUUUUUCUUUUUUGAUGGUGGGAUCUUCUUUAUAUAUAUAUAUAUGUAAUCUCACUUGAACUCGCACUAAUCCCCUUUACCUCGACCAUCAUACAGUCAUCAUGGAGAAAACUUGUUUCCUAUUUCCCCUUUGUGUGUCACCUUUGAUCAUGUUGCAAUUUUACAUGGCAAGCUUAGUUAUUGCAACUGUUCCCUACUUUACCAUUGAUCAAUAUGCUAUUUUUGCCUUAAAGGCUCAAAUUUCUUAUGACCCGCACAAUGUUUUGACAAACAAUUGGUCCACCAACUUCUCUAUUUGCAACUGGGUCGGUAUCACUUGUGGUUCCAGCCAUAAUCGAGUCAUUACAUUCAAUCUUUCUUACAUGGGAUCUUAUAGGCACCAUUCCUCCACACAUGGGAAACUUUUCAUUUCUUUUUAGUCUAAACAUUGAAAACAAAAGUUUUCAUGGUUCUAUUCCCAAUGAGUUGUCUCAUCUUUAUCGGAUGCAAUACUUAUCCUUCGGAUUCAAUAACUUCAGAGGAAAAAUCCCUUUGUGUAUUGGGCUAUUGUCCAAACUUCAAAAUUUGUUUCUAUUUGGUAACAGAUUCUCGAGGACUAUUCCACCAUCUCUAUCUAAUAUAUCUUUGUUGCAAAUAAUUGAUCUUAGUUAUAACCAACUUUCGGGCUCCAUUCCAUUCUCAAUCUUCAACAUGUACAUCUUGCAAGAAAUUGAUCUUAGAGACAACAUGCUUUUUGGUCCGAUGCCAUCCAUUAUUUCCAACAUGUCAUCAUUGCAAGUCAUUAACCUAGGAGCUAAUAAGCUUUAUGGUCCUUUACCUAUGGAUAUGUUUGAUUAUCUUCCCAACUUACAAGAGCUUGGAAUAUCUAAUAAUUAGAUUUAUGGCCAACUCAUAUUCACUUUGUUCAAGUGCAAACAACUACAAUAUUUAUCACUGGCAAAUAAUGAUUUCAUUGGAAGUGUACCUUUGGAAAUUGGGGACUUAACCAUGCUCACAGAGUUAUACGUUGACAACAACAUCUUUGGAGGUAUGUUUAGUAUUCUUUUAGUUUUUAGUCAGUUGCAAGUUUGAGUAUUUGUUUCCAAAUGGUAACUGUUUUGUAAGUACUAUUCCAUCCACUUUGUUCAAGUGCAAACAAUUGCAAAUAUUAUCUUCGUCCAAUAAUAAAUUUACAGGAAGAGUACCUCAAGGAAUUGGAAACUUAACUAUGCUCAAAGUGUUAGGCCUUUCCCUCAACAAUUUUGGAGGUAUGUUUUGA